Molecule: ribosomal RNA, 373 nt
Filed under: Diderma radiatum
Lineage: Eukaryota; Evosea; Eumycetozoa; Physariida; Didymiaceae
Description: partial 12S ribosomal RNA
Source: RNAcentral
UCUAUGUGGCUGGUGGUGUUCUUAUCUCUGGAUCAAACGACGGCACAAUUAGAGUAUGAGAGAAUGUGAGAGGAGAAUAUCUCAUUUAACUAAUUAAUUAACUUAAUAGGUUUGGAACCUCACCAAAAUGACGUGUAUAUUCAGUGUGGAAGCGCAUGAUGGGUGGGUGAAGACACUAGUAGUCCACGGCCACUGUCUCUAUAGUGGCGCUUUCGAUUACAAGGUCAAGGUAUUUCAUUGACAAAUAAAUAAACUAUAUGUUAUUAUACUUACAUGUUACUGUUACUAGGAGUGGGAUUUGAGAAAUUUCAUGACCACAAGAACUUUCAGUGAACACGGGGAUAACGUUACGUGCCUGGUUGCCACUCAAAAG